UACAGAGGGUGCGAGCGUUAAUCGGAAUUACUGGGCGUAAAGCGCGCGUAGGCGGCUUUUCAAGUCGGAUGUGAAAUCCCCGGGCUUAACUCGGAAAGGUCAACUGAUACUGUGCGACUAGAGUGCGGAAGGGGCAACUGGAAUUCUCGGUGUAGCGGUGAAAUGCGUAGAUAUCGAGAGGAACACCUGCGGCGAAGGCGGGUUGCUGGGCCGACACUGACGCUGAUGCGCGAAAGCCAGGGGAGCGAACGGG
This 253-nucleotide ribosomal RNA is filed under the name uncultured bacterium. RNAcentral describes it as "partial 16S ribosomal RNA". It matches the Rfam family "Bacterial small subunit ribosomal RNA", at positions 524 to 776 of the family's 1533-position model. The record is from RNAcentral.